Molecule: small RNA, 28 nt
Filed under: Bombyx mori (domestic silkworm)
Lineage: Eukaryota; Metazoa; Arthropoda; Insecta; Lepidoptera; Bombycidae
Description: ovarian small RNA-27972
Source: RNAcentral
UCCUGUAUGAACAAAUAGCCCAAGAAAU